RNAcentral lists this ribosomal RNA (544 nucleotides) under uncultured bacterium. RNAcentral describes it as "bacterial SSU rRNA". It matches the Rfam family "Bacterial small subunit ribosomal RNA", at positions 358 to 916 of the family's 1533-position model. The record is from RNAcentral.
GGAAUUUUCCGCAAUGGGCGAAAGCCUGACGGAGCAACGCCGCGUGAGGGAUGAAGGCCUCUGGGCUGUAAACCUCUUUUAUCAAGGAAGAAGAUCUGACGGUACUUGAUGAAUAAGCCACGGCUAAUUCCGUGCCAGCAGCCGCGGUAAUACGGGAGUGGCAAGCGUUAUCCGGAAUUAUUGGGCGUAAAGCGUCCGCAGGCGGUCUUUUAAGUCUGUCGUCAAAGCGUGGAGCUUAACUCCAUUUCUGCGAUGGAAACUGGGAGACUAGAGUGUGGUAGGGGCAGAGGGAAUUCCCGGUGUAGCGGUGAAAUGCGUAGAUAUCGGGAAGAACACCAGUGGCGAAGGCGCUCUGCUGGGCCAUAACUGACGCUCAUGGACGAAAGCCAGGGGAGCGAAAGGGAUUAGAUACCCCUGUAGUCCUGGCCGUAAACGAUGAACACUAGGUGUCGGGGGAAUCGACCCCCUCGGUGUCGUAGCCAACGCGUUAAGUGUUCCGCCUGGGGAGUACGCACGCAAGUGUGAAACUCAAAUGAAUUGACGG